RNAcentral lists this unclassified non-coding RNA (240 nucleotides) under soil metagenome. RNAcentral describes it as "partial contains 5.8S ribosomal RNA, internal transcribed spacer 2, and large subunit ribosomal RNA". The record is from RNAcentral.
AACAUCGCGCACCUGCGGGAACCUGCGGAGGGAUCAUUACAGAGUUGCAAAACUCCCUAAACCAUUGUGAACGUUACCUAAACCGUUGCUUCGGCGGGCGGCCCGGGUCCCUCCCGGCGCCCAUCGGCCCUCGCGGGCGCCCGCCGGAGGUAAACCAAACUAUUGCAUUGUAUGGCCUCUCUGAGUCUUCUGUACUGAAUAAGUCAAAACUUUUAGCAACGGAUCUCAGAUCGGAAGAGC